This 398-nucleotide unclassified non-coding RNA is filed under the name uncultured fungus. Its description in RNAcentral is "sequence contains ITS1". The stretch from base 1 to 105 matches the Rfam family "5.8S ribosomal RNA", at positions 50 to 154 of the family's 154-position model. The record is from RNAcentral. Lineage: Eukaryota; Fungi.
GAAAUGCGAUACGUAAUGCGAAUUGCAGAAUUCCGUGAAUCAUCGAAUCCUCGAACGCACAUUGCACUUUCAAGUUUUCUUGGAAGUAUACCUGUUUGAGUAUCAGUGUUCUCUCUCAAACCAUGUUUUUUCUAACAGUUAAAGACUGGUUUGGACUUGGACUUUUCACAACUGGCAACAGCUGCGAAGUCUUGAAUCUAGAAUCAUUAGGCUUUGACUACCAAACCUAAAGCUAGGUCCUUUGCUAUGGCAAUUCUCUUAAGCUUGAAAGGUUUGCAAAGCCUUAUGUCCUUCCGGGGUUGGGUGACCUUCAACUGGAAAAUCCAAAGUUCUUCUCUUCUAGAGAUUAACUUUGAGCCUUUGAUCUCAAAUCAGGUAAGAUGACCCGCUGAACUUAA